AGUGAACGCUGGCGGUAGGCCUAACACAUGCAAGUCGAACGGCAGCACAGUAAGAGCUUGCUCUUACGGGUGGCGAGUGGCGGACGGGUGAGGAAUACAUCGGAAUCUACUUUUUCGCGGGGGAUAACGUAGGGAAACUUACGCUAAUACCGCAUACGACCUACGGGUGAAAGCAGGGGAUCUUCGGACCUUGCGCGAUUGAAUGAGCCGAUGUCGGAUUAGCUAGUUGGGGGGGUAAAGGCCCACCAAGGCGACGAUACGUAGCCGGUCUGAGAGGGUGGUCGGCCACACUGGAACUGAGACACGGUCCAGACUCCUACGGGAGGCAGCAGUGGGGAAUAUUGGACAAUGGGCGGAAGCCUGAUCCAGCCAUACCGCGUGUGUGAAGAAGGCCUUCGGGUUGUAAAGCCCUUUUGUUGGGAAAGAAAAGCAGCAGGUUAAUACCCCGCUGUUCUGACGGUACCCAAAGAAUAAGCACCGGCUAACUUCGUG
This 492-nucleotide ribosomal RNA is filed under the name uncultured bacterium. RNAcentral describes it as "partial 16S ribosomal RNA". It matches the Rfam family "Bacterial small subunit ribosomal RNA", at positions 29 to 507 of the family's 1533-position model. The record is from RNAcentral.